GGAAGACAUCAGUGGCAAUUUGGGGGAGGGGAUUCCUCAGCACUGUGUAUACUGCUGCCCAGUAUAGUGGUAGCAGUGAUACAAGAUGAAAGGUUUGAAAAAACUGAGAGGUGCAAACCUCAGAAUGAGUGACUGACAGGAUCAUGUGACUAAGGGUCACAUGGGAGCCUGAGGCAAGGAAUCUGGGAAAGAUUCUAUGCCCAACUGUCUUCUCUCCCAGAAGGACCUGAGUUUGAGGCUUGAAAAGGUUUUCUCCUGAGACCAAGAGAAGAAAAGAAAUCUUUUGGAUCUGGCUGCUGGCAGCAACAGUAAAGAAGAUCUCUGGACCUGUUUGGACACCAACCAACUGAAGAUCCUGGCCCAUUUGAUUGGACUCCUGAAAUUGCCACAAGCCACCCCAACCUCAGCAACCACCACCCUGAUUGGUCAGUAGCCAUCAACAUUGGGACACGACCUUCGCCAGGAAAGACAUUACGACUCCGUGAAGGCUCAGAUGAUGCUUAGCAUGUUAAGGCAAUAAGUGGAGGAUUUAUGAAAAGAUACAGAUGACCGUUGCUGUCAGCAUGGAACAGUUCCAACGUCCACCUUUGGGGAGAACACUCAGGCUGCUGACACCAUGGGACCAUGGAUGUGUGGAAGAAGUACUGUAUGUAUCCCCUUUUGAGGCUCUGAGAGGGCAGUCUGCCUUCUCUUAAUUUUUAAUCUCCAGCAGAACUUAGCACGGUGCUUUUUGCACAUAGUAGGGGCUUAUUUAUUAUUAUUAUUAUUAUUAUUAUUAUUCAGACAUUUAUUAUGUCUGAAAGGGAAAUGGACCAUCUUGGGAGAUGGGGGUUACCCCUCACUAGAGAUUUGCACUAGAAGGUUAGAUGAUCACUUGCUGGGGAACCUUGGUCAGAUAUGAGUUAGACAAAAUGGUCUAUAGCUUUUUUCAGUUCUGGGAUCCUGGGAAUCCUCUCUUUCACUUGAAUAGAGGAACAAUUAGGACACUGUAGGAGGAAUGCUGAGGUCAAGGUCAGGAUCUCGAAAGGGACUUGUUCUUUUCUCUUCCAUCAGAGUAUCUAUAAUUGGGAGCGAUGAGAAAUGAGAUGACUGAAAUAGGAGAGGAAUGUAGGAAGACAUGCCUUGAAGGUACAGUCUGGAGGUCCAUCUAUGGCAAGGUGGAUGAAAGUAGACAAAAAAAAUUUCAGUAAGCAUAACUUAAAAGGUUUUAGGGAGGACACUAGUUGCUUUCAAAGAAGUCAUAAAUAGGGAGAUUAGCCUGGGGAGCUGUUACUGUUCAGCAUAAAAUGAUGUCCUGGCCCUGGUCAGGAGCAACUAUCACCCUGGACAGGAAGAGUAAGGUCUAACAGAUCCAAAGAAGAAUUUGGGGUCCCAACAAGUCCCUCUCUAUUCAAAGAUCCACCAGUCCUUUCCUGAUUCCUCCAAUUAUUGCCAUUUCUUUCUUUGUGGAAUCAUUUGUAUAUGUCCAUACUCAUCUGUGUAUAUCUAUUUCCCAACUGGAGAAAGUAAGCUCCUUGAGAGCAGGGACUGUUUUAUCCCUGCAAGAUGCUUUGCAUAUACUAGCAGGCUACUUACUAAAUAAGCAUUUUAUCUAUCGCCUUGAAUUUUAUUGGUCUAGAUAAAAGGAGAGCAUUAUUUUAUAAUUUUAAAAGUCUGCAACCACACUUAAUUGCACAUAAUAAAUACAUUCAAAACUAUUUACAAUAAAAUAUAUAGGCCAACGUGAAAAUUUUAGCAACAACACACUUUAAAUAAGAUUGCUUUCAUUCCUAUGCAUGUAUGUCAACAAACAUUUUAUUAAACACCAGUGAUGUGCCAGGCACUUUCUAAAGCACCAAAGAAACAAACAAAAGCAAGACCAGUAUCUGUCCUCAAAGAGCGUGCAGUCUCAUUCAGGAGAUUACAUGUAAACAAUUCUGUAUAUAUGAGAUAUAAACAGGGUUUAUUAGAGAUGACCAACUGAGAGAAGGCAAGAGCAUUCAGGGGGAUUGGGGAAAGCUUCUUGCUGGGGAAAGUAUGGUUUUAGCUGGGACUUGAAGGAAGAAGCCAUCAAAGCCUGGAGCCAGAGAUGAGGAGGGGGAGCAGUCCAGGGAUGGAGAAUGACCACAUAAGUGGAAUAAUAUUUAAUAAAAGAAGAAUAGAAAUCUAAAUGCUUUUUAGUCACAUUCUCCUCCAAUAGCAUGUGUAAUUGAGCACUCACUUUUCAUACAUUCCAUUUGAAAUGCGACGAAAAAGACUAGAGAGAAGGGUUUUGUGAUGGCUAAAUUUCUGUAGUGGUCUAAAACCUGGGCAAAGAAUAAGAAAAAACUUUAGAGGUUUUCUAAAUUAAGUCCCUCAUUUUACAAAUGAGGAAACUGAGGCCCAGGAAUAGUAAGAGAUCUUCUGAAGUAGGCAGAAAGUGACCAACUGAUACAGCAUUCAGAUCCAGGGCUUCUGAAUCCACAUUCUACUUCCAGUAACCAUUCCAUGGUUCCAUGUUCCAUAAUCAGAGACCAUUCCCUCACCCCCGACCAUCUAAGUGAGAACGUGGUGGAUUGACCACUACUCGUAAAAAUGGAGAGGCAGGAGCUGCAUGAUGCUUCCUGGGUUCACUGGCAGUCUUGUAUGUCUGACACAUGUGAGCUCUGUAAUCUUGGGAAAAUCAUUUAACCGGAGGUAUCAAAUUCAGUCCACCAGCCACAAGCAGCCCAAACUCCUCCGUGGGGACCAAACCAGAUUACAAAGUAAUGGGGAAAUAGUUAACAAAAUCAAGAAAAAUAAAUGUUAAUUUGUGGGUUUCUGAGUCAAUCUGUGGUCCAUGUGUUUCUGCUUGAAUCUGCCACCCCCUCUCAGUGUGCUCUAACCAGUUGCCUAAGGCUCUAAGUAGACAGAGUUUCCUCACAUUAAAAGUUAAUUUCCUAUACCAGUGAAAUCACAGGUCUUCUGUCCCCAUUCUAUGUCCUGUUCAUGCGGGGUUGGUAGUAGCAUCAUGGAUAGAGAAACAAUGCCCCUCCCUUAAAAAAAAAAAGUGAAGCAGUUUUAAAAUGGAGACCUGGAUACAUAUUUAGACACUUUUUAUCCCAUAUGGUGUAGUUUGGGAAAUGACAAUUUUAGCAUGGCAAAAGGAGGUGAUGACAGUAGUAAAUUCCAUUCUCUAAAGAAGCCAGAAAUCCAUUUUGGCAAAAGUCUUGGGACAAUGGGAAAAGCUCCUGUCCCAAGACUUUUGGAAAAGUGGAUUUCUGGCUUCUUCGGGGGCCUUUGUAAAUUAAGGAAAUGUCUUAAGGAGAUUGCUUAGGCCCCUCAAGUUGAGAGAAGAUAACAGGAUAGGAGAGAGAAAUCUGAUGGUAGAGGUAAGAAAAAGGAAGUAAGGUUAAGUAAAAGUAAAAGGGAGAAAAGAGAAGGCCAAGGUCUGCUUAAGUCCUAUUUCUAGAAGCCAGUCCAUGAAAAGAAGCAAUGGGGCAAAUAUUUCCUCCUUCACCAGGUGUGUCCACUCUUAAAGGGCAGCUAGUUUGCACAGUGGAUAGAGUGCCCAGCCUUGAGUCAGGAAGACUCCUCUUCCUGAGUUCAAAUUUGGUCCCAGACACUUUAUGAGCUGAGGGACCCUGAGCAAGUCACUUUACUCUGUUUGUCUCAGUAUCCUCAUCUGUCAAAUGAGCUGGGGAAGGAAAUAGCAAAUCAUUCCAGUAUCUUUGCCAAGGAAACCCCAAAAUAGGGUCAUGUAGAGUUGGACACAACUGAACUAAUGGAAAAUCAGCUAUGGGAUUUUAAAGUGAAAAAGUGAAAGGAAAAAGAUAUAGAUACCAAAAAGGGGGCAAAUGAUUCAUUUAUAGCAAUUUAAGCACAAGGAUUUGAACAUUAUAUGGUAAUCAAUGAAAGCCAAAUUUGGCUGUGCACCAUGAAAGACCAAAAUGGCAGAUGAACCCCUCCAUCAGUAUAUAAGCUUUAUGUGUAUGUAGGUUGGGGGGGUUCAUUCUUUAGGUUUGUAUUCCCCACUUCUGGCAUAGUAUCUGUGGAACUCGAGCUUGGAGAAGCUCCUGCAGACAGCUUUCCUUCAAUUGGUCACAUGAGUGAAAGGACUGACUCCCCUUUCCCUUGGCUCUCAGGGGAAGGACCCCCCCUUGGCCAAAGUCUUGAACUCCUGCCUGGCUCAGCCUGAGCCCGAGCAAUUUGAGUUAACUCUCUCUCUCUCUUAAUUUCUUCCUUCUCUUGUAAUUAAAUCACCAUAAAACUCCAUUCUGAUUUGAGUGUUUCAUUUAAGAUUUAAGAAAUUAAAUCUUGGCAACCAAUAAUAUUUAUAUUCAGUCUCAACCAUAAAUUUAACCCUUACGUAUCUGUGGUAAAGCUUGUUGUUUAGAUGACUGAAGCAUCCAAAUUGCAGGUGAUCCAAAGGGAAAUGAAGAGUGGUUGAGAUAACUAGGCAAAUGAUCUAGGAGGAAUGGUGUAAAAGAUAGUAUUAUCAAGCAUCUCCCUUGACUGAAAAAGAUGGGCCUCUCUAUGGUCAUUGUACUGGUAUUGGACAAAUAGGAAACUACAGAGAGAGGGGAAAUGGCUGGAGAGCCCUUAUGGAGCACUUGGACUGGACUCUUCCAGGGUUUGAGAAUAUGGCUGAGCCUCCGAGAUCCCCCAAAACGCCCCUUCCAGGCAUCAAGUAAUUUUCCUAAAUAAAGAUCCCUAUCUGAGAUGAAACCUUGUUAGAGGGGACAAGGACUUAAACAAACAUGACAUUUAAAAACCUAAGCUGCCUGUCUGAAAGGUAAGGAAAGCUCCAAUUAUUUUUAAGGGGACAGGCAAACUCGGCUACAACCAAAUUGGAAGGGAAAACGGUGACUAAAAAUUCUAGGAUUGUACUGAAAUUUGAAAAGGAGAAUGAAGAGAAAAUAAGAAAAGGAAAACCCUAAGAGAAGAUCUUCUGCUGUUUCUGAACAAUCAGAGAAGAUGAGGUCAGAAGUAAUGUGAAAGGGGAAGAGUAUAGCUUGUUCUAUUUGUAAGGGAAGGGGUCAAGGAUUCUCAGUCUGUUUAGGUUGGACUGGACAGCCCCUGGGAUCUCUUCCCACUCAAAACCUGGGAUUCCCAGAGGAGACUAAGGGUGUCAUUUCUGUCACUCUCAGCUAGAGGGUGCAGGAAUGUUUGCAGACCUCAGAUGGAUGGAGACCCUCUAGGUCCCCAAAUUUAGAGCAGAAAGAGCCCUCAGAAGUUCUAGUGGAGAUCUCUUCAUUUUUACAGAUGAGGAAAGUGAUGUCUAGAGAUUAAGGAACUCCUCCAAGCUCCCCACAAGAGGUCAAAUGGCAGAGCUAAGCGCUAUUUGACACAGUUUCCUCAUCAGCAAAAAAGGGCUGAUAAGAGUUGUUUCGAGGACAUAAGAAUUAUAAGUGCUUAGCACAGUGCCUGGCAUACAAUAAGCGCCAUAUAAAUGUUACCAAGGAUAAUGCUAAUUAUUGUCAUUGUUUGGAACUCUGACCAUCUUCCUCGGUCCUGGGGACUAGGAUGCUCCUUCUGCUGGGCUCUGCUCCCAUUUUCCCAUUACAAGGGAGGAGCCGUCCAGGGAGGCGUAUUUGGGGGAGCAGAGACUGAGGGGGGCAGAGAGCCCGGACCUGAGAUUUCACUAAAAUAGGAAACUCCCAGGGAAGGAGCCUCCCUUGCACUGACACGGGAUCCCCUCUCCUUCAUAACGUCUAGCCUGCAGGUAAUGAGCCCGGCCUAUUUGAAAUUGACAAGGAACAAACUGACAGCAUUUAGGAGAGGUCUGGACGCAGCGAGCAAGCCAGCAAGCGAGCGCGCGCCCCUUACCUGGAGGGCCCAGGUAGCGCCGGC
This is a long non-coding RNA of Monodelphis domestica (gray short-tailed opossum), 5790 nucleotides long. RefSeq lists it as uncharacterized. Lineage: Eukaryota; Metazoa; Chordata; Mammalia; Didelphimorphia; Didelphidae. The record is from RefSeq and is a predicted model, not a curated record.